Molecule: non-coding RNA, 30 nt
Filed under: Homo sapiens (human)
Lineage: Eukaryota; Metazoa; Chordata; Mammalia; Primates; Hominidae
Source: RNAcentral
ACAAGGAGACCCAGGAUAGAAACACUGUGC